Molecule: long non-coding RNA, 362 nt
Filed under: Sorghum bicolor (sorghum)
Lineage: Eukaryota; Viridiplantae; Streptophyta; Magnoliopsida; Poales; Poaceae
Description: long non-coding RNA (SBIC_LNC004955)
Source: RNAcentral
GCGGAGUCAGCUUGUGGCGUCCUUGAUUGCUUUGCCGGCGUCGUAGGACUAGGUCGCCCACGUUGAGGUCCCUCUUGCGCACAUGCUUGUCGUGGUAGCGUCGAAGCUUUUGCUGAUAUCUGGCAGAGUUGAGGAGGGCCAUGUCUCGAGCCUCCUCAAGUUGGUCGACUGCGUUUUCUUGAGUCUCUUUGUUCGAUUGCUCGUUGUAGGCCUUGAGUCGAGGUGACCCAUACUCGAGGUCUGUGGGGAGGAUAGCCUCAGAGCCGUAGACCAUGAAGAACGGGGUGUAUUUUGUGGCCCUGCUCGGUGUUGUCCUAAGGCUCCAUAGGACUGCGGAAAGCUCCUCGACCCAUUUCUUGCCG